RNAcentral lists this unclassified non-coding RNA (307 nucleotides) under Hevea brasiliensis (rubber tree). The record is from RNAcentral. Lineage: Eukaryota; Viridiplantae; Streptophyta; Magnoliopsida; Malpighiales; Euphorbiaceae.
AACAUAAGCUCCAGGGCCUGCUUUGGCUAUGAUGUCAAAGAGAUUUAGCUCGAUAGCUGUGCGAAGGACCAGAGGAAAGACACGAGAGCUAGAGAAUAUCAUGGCAUCAAGACAUGCUUCCUCUUCUUGAUAACUUUCUAUGGAGCCCAUACUUGUGGCUAAGGCUCUGUUUAUUUCGUUCCUGGUUCUGAUGCUGUGGCUUGUUAAUCUACAUCUAUACUAAUAUAUAAAAACGGAUGGCACUUGAUACUGUUUUUUAUCAUAAUGCCUUCGCAUUGAAAGUGUUUUCUCCAACGUCCCUUCAAAU